AAUGGGGCGGGAUUGUGAGUGCGCGGCUGUCAGUGGUGCGGCGGCUCAAUAGGAAGGGCGUUAUCUCUGCCUGUUUUCCCCUCCUGCAAUCCCCUGUGUUUCGCAGGGCGAUUUUGUCUCUUCGUAGCCUGACGGAAGACUUUAAGCACCAAUCCAGGAAGAUAUAAGAAAAAAAUAUUUUACAGUGAGGGUGGUGAGGUACUGGAAUAGGUUGUCCAGUGAUGUGGUUGAUGCCCCAUCCAUGGAGACUUUAAAGAUGGAGCUGCCUAAGGUCAUGGAUGUGGUCUCUUGCAACAGUUGAGCUGCAGUCAGUAAGUACUGGAUACACUGUGCGGAGGUGGACCUGUCUGUGCAGCACAGGCACAUGCGUUUGUGCAGAGAAAUCCCAAAGCAACUUGUUCCCCAUAUUGUAAAACAUGAGACACUGGCCCCCGAAUGCAAUGAUAACCAUACCACCAACUUUCUAGUAGAGUAGUUGCCCUGUUUUUCUAAACAUUACAUGUAAUCCUAUGACAGUGAAGUGAAGGUCAGGGCAGUAAUUAUGUAUGCUCCUGUAGACAGUGUGUCAUCAACUGAAUAAUAAUGCAAAAUAUGCAAAGAUAUAGUCUAGAAAUAUAGUUCUAUUCUCUCCUACAUUUUUAGCCCUAUCAAAACCUCUGCACAAUUAUAUAACAAGUUUGUGUGAACACCUGUGUUCUUUUGCACUCAUCGGGGCUAUUAAAAGUGACAGACUACGUUGUCUGAUCAUAAUCACAUAUUAUAGCAAAUUCAAACAUGUUCAUCCAAUUUUCACAGGGUCAUGCACUGAAUUAUCCCCUUCAUUGUCAGGCAAAUAAAUACAGAUCAUUGUUUCGAACCGCUGGGAAUUUGGAACCCAAGUAAUGUACAGGUCUGUGGAAUCAGUAUUCAAAUCUCUGCUCGGCCAUCCUUCCAAUGACUUUACCAUGAGAAUGGAAAGGAGGAAGGAGGGGAGCUGUAGAGGACAAUGGGCUGAGCAAGGAAAGAAGGUUACCUCAUUAGACUACAGGGAAAAUCUUGAGGUUAAAUAGUGCUGUGAAUAUCUGGAUAGCUACACACCUCAGAUAUGCUUUUGGUCUGUGAACGGAUGUUAAGGAGUGUGUAUACACUUGUAUAUAUGCAGAUAUAAUCAAACACAUGCAUACGUAUAUACAUACACAUAUAGUAAUCUUUAAGAGGGUGCCACUAAAACAAAAUAUUUACAUUUUCUAAGGGCAGAAUUGUGCAGAAAUCCAAAUACGCGGAUUUCUAAAAACAGAAGGUAGUCUGAUAAGAAGAUCUUUGGAUUCUCAGCCAUUGCCCUCUCAGGCAAAAUAAAGAGUUGUGUUUCAGGAGGCAGUUUUCUGCAGCUCAUAAGUGACCACCGCAGAGCAGAUGCAAGUGAAGCUACACAAAUCUGCAUCCAUGGAAAGUCUGGCUUGAAUUGUCUGCCACAGUAACUGUCUAGAAUAUCUUACUGCCUGCUCAGUACUGCUCUUCUGGGAAAGAAUAGCCAAAGAGUUGAGAAAAGAAGGCAGUUUAAAACAGAAAUCUCAUUAUUAAUAUACCGUUUUGAAAAGUCUGUUGUGGUUUACUAAGUCCCAGGAUGUGAGUGUGUUUCUUCAGUGCUCAGAAGGCAGACAUCGAUUUACAGUUUCAGUAGGAAUCUUUUUAGUUACUUGGGUACUGCCUUCAUUUAGGGACACAGCAGGGCGGCUCAAGUUGGAGGUGGCAGGAAUGCUGUGGGGAGUUGCCCUGGCUGUGGGAAGGCUGUGACGGACUUCCAUCUGCCAACACAGUGCUGCAGCUGCUGGGUCACUUGGGGCUUGGCACAAGCACAAGCAUAGCUUGUUGGUGCUGCUGCGCUAACCCAUGCUCCAAUGCCGUCUCUCCUUUCUGCCCCCAACUUCUCCAGCCACCCACCACACCCAAGAACCUCGUAUCCUUUUCUAUUCCAUACUUCUGUCUCUCUUUCCAUUCUUGAGACUCCUGCUUCCAAAGCUCUCUACCUUUCAACUUCACUAGCAGGUGCACAUCCCUGCCACUUAGACCAACAGACAGCCUAUCUGGCACCAGCCCCAGCCCUAUCUUGCCUCCGUGGGGCUUGCUUGGGGGUGUGCACCACUUCUUGUUUGCACAGUAAAGUCUUGAGUAAUGCCAGUAAAAAAUGAGCACAUCAUCUGUCAUCAUAGAAUCACAGAAUCCUGGGAGUUGGAAGGGACUUCUGAAGGCCAUCUGGUCCAACUGCCCUGAAAAGAACAGGGACGUCCACAGCUGGAUCAGGUUGCUCAGGGCCUUAUCCAGCAAAACUAUGGAGCGGAGCAGCGAGAUGUGUUUGUGUCGGCUGAUCUGCAGAGGGCACACAUUGUCCAGGCCUGAGGCAGUAAGUGGUGGUGGCACGGAUCCCCUCAAGUGCUGUGUCACUGGAGCUCCUGCCUCCGUGUGUCCCAGAGCUGAUUCACCACAUUUACCCCAUCCCAGAGGAGCCAGUUGCUGAGCUGCAGCCCUUAUGUCCCAUCUUCCUGCUGAAACAAUGGAACUUCUCCAUUACUUGGGAGAAUGGAAGAAAGAGCACCGCGUUGCCCUUUAGUGAUUGCAGGAGCUGCUGCCAAAUGGUCCAAGCCAUUCCUAAGCCCAGCACUAUUUCUGUGCUCUACCCAAGGUCUGUUCAGGGAACACCAAGUGUGGAAUCAGCCCUGUCCUUCUCAGCAAGCGCUCUCAGCUGCUGAUGCAUGCCCACACGUGUCCUCUGUCUCUGGCUCAGUUCUAAACACCUCCCUGCUGUCGUAUUCUGGCUGCAGCACUCAAGUUUUCCACCUGCAAUUGAUUCUUGAUUUCUUGUCCUGGAGUGCUGAGCAUCAUCAGGGGAGAGCUCCCCGAUUGCUGAUGAUUACGAAACCAUAGCUGACCAAACACAGCUGAACACAGUGGAGGGUGUGAGCCUGGCCUCUGAGGAGCUGAAAUCAGGUGAGCACCUGCCAGGGGAAGAGGCCACAGAGCUGACUUCGGCCUUGGAGCCAAAGAUUGACUCGGUCCCUGAGAGAGAGGAGCCGGAGGGUACUGAGCCACCAUGUGUAGCACCGGAGCAGAGCCCAGAGCUGCCAUCUGUGUGGCAAGAGGAAAGCACCAAGACUUCACCACCGGCACUGAGAGACAAUGGUGGGCCACCAGGACCAACAGAGGACAGUGGGUUGGAGGAAGGCAGUGACAGCUUUGUGGUGGAAAUCAUCAAGAAGGUGCAUAUUGCUGAAGAGGACCACUUCGUUGAGGGUGAGACGGGAGAACAGGUGGAAACUGAGCUGCUCAGUCAGAUAGUAAGUGGAGGGCCUGAAACAAAAGAAGAGGAAACAGGAGAAGCUGUGGAUGGUGCAGCAGCGACAGAGAUAGAGACAACGAGUAACAAAGACUAGAAGCUACGUCUGUAUGAACAUCCUCUUCUUGGGCCAGCCCUUCUGUCCACAUAGAAGCUUUUUAAUUUUGCUGCAUUGGAAAAAUAGAGCUUUUAUAGACGGAGCCACGAACCAGAAUAAGAAACAUCAAAAGAGGUUUUAUAUAAUAUAUAUGUUAUUGAAGUCGAGCUGCCAGGACUUCAAGUGUUUGAAAUACCUGGUACCUCCCUGACCUGGCACCUCCCUGCCACAGAGUGCCUUCCGUACAUCGCCAGCACAGCGGGAUGAUUCCGACAGAUGUAUAACCAUCCAGUUUUCCAUUAGGAGUCUUUCCAGGUUCUAACUUCAAACCUCUGAAACCUUCAGCAUUACAUAGGAUAAAGAAUAUAGUGUAGACUGGUUUUAGUUUUAUUUUAAUGGUAGCGCAAGCAGAAAGUCAGAAAGGGAAGUCCUGCUUCUGAGAACUCCUCUACAUGCAGGCAGUCCCUCUGAGUGCCUGCACAGCCAGGUGAUGGAGCUGCUGCAGUGAGCUGCACUCAGAGGACUGGAACCCAAACUGCCUGUUUGCUGGGUGUAACUAAAUGCAAAGGUUAGUUUUUCAGGCAGUGAAAGAUACACAGUUAACCAAGUAGGUGCCUUCUGCUAACUCCAUUUUUAAACAUAUUUAUUGAAAGGAGAAAAAAAGGCAUUUUUAACCAGGAGGAGAAUGCUUUAGUCUUCUAAGAUCUGGCAUACUUAAAAUACAAAUUCACAGUUGUUAGCACGCAUGGUGAUUAAUAGGGCAUCUUUAGCGAUGUAGCUCCUAACAUAUGCUCAUGGCUUCUAAAAUAGAUACCAAACCAGUGACUUCUAUAAGCCUGAUCCCAUAGGAGAGGUCACUGUUCCAUACCCCCAUUUCUCCAGGAGAAACACGUAUUCAGGAAUGGCGUUAUGUUCCAGAAUGCUAAGGAAGCAUUUCAGAGCUGAAGCUGAAUGACAAAACCUUCCAACAAAUUUCACGUUGAAAAGAGGCUCCAAAUACAAUUGGUGUUAAGGAUCUGAUAGAGUAGAACUUUGAUCUGAUGGUGAGUGAUGCAAAGGGACUUUGUAUUAUUAUUGGAGACUGUUCGGGAGACCCUCUGGCAUAAGGAAGUAGAACAUGGAGGAAAGGUCAAGCAUCUCACAAGGGCAAAUGUUGCUAUAGCUUUACUGUACAAAAGGACUUCAACAAAUUUUAUUGUCAGCAGCAAAUAAUCAAUCUCCUCUGAGCUACAUUUUGUGCUGCACAUGCAUACCUGACUCCAGCUGAUCUUGGUCUGUAUUAAAUAUUUUAAUUGAUAUCCCUGGCCUAUCAGCUUUUUCUACUUUAGCUGAUAUUCCUUAGCCAUACUGCUGUAUUUAAGGUUUUCUGCCUGUCAGCAGUCUUUUCAGACUGCAGCUAUCUUGUCAGCUUCCUGUAAGGUCACCUUUCUGCAGGCAUACACUCCAGGGUCCCCCACCUCCAGCAGUUCCAGUGGUUGGGUCCCUCUUGUAUGCUGGGGAUUUGGUUUGACUACCAGCACCUGAACUGGCACCAUCCAGUUCCCAAAUACAGGGAGUCUGCUAUGCUGACUGCUUGAAAGUUACAUGUUAGAUCCAGAGAUGCAGUUUGACUGGCCGUAUUGAAAGAUUUAAAAGCAGAACUGAUGGCAUUUCCAUGAUGGAGGCAACAUUAACAGCACCUGCAGAGACAGCACUUGAAAACAAAAUAGGGAGAUAUAAGAGAGUCAGGAUAACCUGUUCACCUCAGAAUCAGUCUUGCUGCCACCAAUAUACACUCUUACCUACAAUAUACACUCUUACCUCCUUAUUCAACUUUUUCAAUCAUUAGAAGCAAUGCUAAUUGGAAGCAAGAGGAGGGUUACCCCAUCAGUGACUCAGCAGGUCAGCCCUUCUCUGUCAUCUUCAGUCUUUACAUAUCUUGUAAUUACAGUAUAUGAAAGCUAUGUUAUCUUUUCCUUCCCAAAAAGUGAAAUAUACUUGACACUGUGCUAAAUGUGAAAUGUUAAUUAUAUAAAUUACAAGAUCAGACCUCAGAUGCUAGACUUAUGCUGAACAUCCCUCCCUUGACAAAUAAGACAAUCACUAUCCCGCUGAGGCCUGGUAUUUAUGGUCUUUAAGCUACUAAAAUGUGUACCAUGCCUAAAGGGCCAAAAUGUAUGCAGUUAUUUGCUUCUGCAAUCCUCAGGACAUCACAGAAAUUGCCAAGGGCAGAAAUUGGUCUGUGGAUCACACAGCUUUCUGAGCUUAAAUGCUGAGAAGGGGAUAUGCUCUGACACCUGUUUAUAAGAUACAGCUGCAGAGCUAGUACGAGGUACCUUAGCAUUUUAUUUUAAACAUCACCAAAAUAAAAAUGUAUUUUCGUAAAUGUGUAUCAAAAGCUAGACAGUCUUAAGUCUCAAACUUCCUCCAACCUAGCACUUACUAUUCCAUGCUAUACUAAGUGUUGAAGAGAAUCACAGAAUGGCCUGGAUUGAAAAGGACCACAGUGAUCAUUGAGUUUCAACCCCUCUGCUAUGUGCAGGAUCACCAACCACCAGACGAGGCUGCCCAGAGCCACAUCCAGCCUGGCCUUGAAUGCCUCCAGGGAUGGGGCAUCCACAACCUCCUUGGGCAACCUGUUCCAGUGCGUCACCACCCUCUUUGUCAAGAACUUCCUCCUGAUAUCCAACCUAAACCACCCGUCUCAGUUUAAGACCAUUCCCCUUGUCCUAUCACUAUCCACCCUUGUGAACAGUCAUUCUCUCUCCUGUUUAGGAGGAAUAGGACCCUUGAUUGAAUAAAUCUCCAGUCUAACUGGAAAGGUAGACAUUUUGUUUCAAGUACUGAAAGCCAUAGCCUUAAAGAAGGUAAAUUUGGACCCCGCAGACUCUAUGCAGACAAACAUGCUCGUGUUAGCAUCCCAGAAGAUACUCAGCAAUCUGGCUUGGAAAAGUUGGCUCUUCUACUCAACGCAUAACUUCUUUCAGAUGAAUACUGCAUCGAGAGAAAGGUGCCUGUAGCAGAAGAUUAGGGCAGGUUAAGUUUUAACAGAGAACAAAGUUUUAUUAAAAUUGCCUACCAAGCUUUAUUUUUGCAUUGUUUAAUCUGUAGGGAACAUAAUCAUUAGGAGAGAAAAAAAGCUACUAAAAGAAAACCCUGGGAGAACGUGCAAAUUUAGGAACUGCUUUGCUUUCACAGAACUAGAAGACCUCAUUUUGUUUCAUGCUAGCAGCUCAGUCUAGCAAUCAAACAAAAACUCAGCUUACCUUAAUUCCAUUUAUAACUGGAUUUAUUAAGUAUUUUAUACUUUGCUGAACUAAGACCAAGGAGGUCCUCACAACACUUGUGUUUCAUGUUGGAUAAUCAUAUUGCUCUGCUUUUUAAAAUAAAAAACAGAAUCAAGAAAUAGAACAACCGCUUUAAAAAAAAUAAAGCUUUAAACAUCUA
This is an RNA transcript of Gallus gallus (chicken), 6833 nucleotides long. It is a transcript of the gene named glutamate rich 5, with no coding region annotated. NCBI's taxonomy places the organism in Eukaryota, Metazoa, Chordata, Aves, Galliformes, Phasianidae. The record is from RefSeq and is a predicted model, not a curated record. The transcript has 6 exons.